RNAcentral lists this unclassified non-coding RNA (267 nucleotides) under uncultured Chaetothyriales. RNAcentral's name for it is "sequence contains 5.8S rRNA gene, ITS2, 28S rRNA gene". The record is from RNAcentral. Lineage: Eukaryota; Fungi; Ascomycota; Eurotiomycetes; Chaetothyriales.
AACGCAUAUUGCGCCCAUUGGCAUUCCGAUGGGCAUGCCUGUUCGAGCGUCAUUAUCCUCCCUCAAACCCUGGGUUUGGUGUUGGACUCUGUGGUGCGAUGUUUUGAGCACGACUGGUCUUAAAGACAAUGACGGCGUCCGUGGGACCCUCGGUGCAACGAGCUUUUCGAAGCACGCGUCGAGUGUAACAGUCUCUCCGGGCCGGUCUCCUUUUAAUUAUUUUUCUAGGUUGACCUCGGAUCAGGUAGGAAUACCCGCUGAACUUAA